This 437-nucleotide ribosomal RNA is filed under the name uncultured bacterium. RNAcentral describes it as "bacterial SSU rRNA". It matches the Rfam family "Bacterial small subunit ribosomal RNA", at positions 954 to 1392 of the family's 1533-position model. The record is from RNAcentral.
AUGGGAACGCGAAGAACCUUACCUAGACUUGACAUCUCCUGAAUAGUGUAGAGAUACAUGAAGCCCUUCGGGGCAGGAAGACAGGUGGUGCAUGGUUGUCGUCAGCUCGUGUCGUGAGAUGUUGGGUUAAGUCCCGCAACGAGCGCAACCCUUAUUACUAGUUGCUACCAUUAAGUUGAGCACUCUAGUGAGACUGCCCGGGGUUAACCGGGAGGAAGGCGGGGAUGACGUCAAAUCAUCAUGCCCCUUAUGUCUAGGGCGACACACGUGCUACAAUGGUGAGUACAGAUAGAUGCGAUACCGCAAGGUGGAGCCAAACUCUAAAACUCAUCCCAGUUCGGAUUGUAGGCUGCAACUCGCCUACAUGAAGUUGGAGUUGCUAGUAAUCGCGAAUCAGAAUGUCGCGGUGAAUACGUUCCCGGGUCUUGUACACACCG